GAUGAACGCUAGCGGGAGGCCUAACACAUGCAAGCCGAGCGGUAGAGUUUCUUCGGAAACUUGAGAGCGGCGCACGGGUGCGUAACACGUGUGCAACCUACCUUUAUCUGGGGGAUAGCCUUUCGAAAGGAAGAUUAAUACCCCAUAAUAUAAUGAUUGGCAUCAAUUAUUAUUGAAAACUCCGGUGGAUAGAGAUGGGCACGCGCAAGAUUAGAUAGUUGGUGAGGUAACGGCUCACCAAGUCAAUGAUCUUUAGGGGUCCUGAGAGGGAGAUCCCCCACGCUGGUACUGAGACACGGACCAGACUCCUACGGGAGGCAGCAGUGAGGAAUAUUGGACAAUGGGUGAGAGCCUGAUCCAGCCAUCCCGCGUGAAGGAGGACGGUCCUAUGGAUUGUAAACUUCUUUUGUACAGGGAUAAACCUACCCUCGUGAGGGUAGCUGAAGGUACUGUACGAAUAAGCACCGGCUAACUCCGUG
This 479-nucleotide ribosomal RNA is filed under the name uncultured bacterium. Its description in RNAcentral is "partial 16S ribosomal RNA". It matches the Rfam family "Bacterial small subunit ribosomal RNA", at positions 28 to 507 of the family's 1533-position model. The record is from RNAcentral.